Molecule: transfer RNA, 66 nt
Filed under: Lachesilla sp. Lasp7Q
Lineage: Eukaryota; Metazoa; Arthropoda; Insecta; Psocodea; Lachesillidae
Description: tRNA-Asp
Source: RNAcentral
AAAGAUUUAGUUAAAUUUUUAUAACAUUAGAAUGUCAAACUAAAAUUAUUCUAUGAAUAAUCUUUU